This is an RNA transcript of Malus domestica (apple), 1534 nucleotides long. RefSeq lists it as uncharacterized. Lineage: Eukaryota; Viridiplantae; Streptophyta; Magnoliopsida; Rosales; Rosaceae. The record is from RefSeq and is a predicted model, not a curated record.
UGUGCUCAUUCCUUCCCCCCCCUCUCUCUACUUUCUCUCUCCAUCAGCAAAUUCCAAUCCUUUUCACUCACUCUCAGAAACGCCUCUGCAUUUUCACAAUCUUCAAAUCAUCCAUUUCUCCACAAUUUUCAGGAUCACUCCAUAUUAUUCAAAAUCCUGUCUUGGGUACCUUUUUGUCAUCUGGGUUUUUCUCAGAGAUUCCUGUUAUUUUCUGGAGAACCAAACAGGUUUUGCAUACAGAGUGAAGAACAGUGCUUCAUUUAAUGUGAUCAAUCGUAGCCCGUGAAGCAGUGAUUGACAUUCUAUCUGUUUUGCAUUGAAGAUUUCCCUCAAGAUUUCGUGUCAGAGCUCAAGAAUUACACACAUUCAUAAAGAAGAAAGGGAUCAGAAUUGGAGGUUGGAUUUUCUUGGCUAAUUUGGUUCAUGAAUCUGUCUGGGAAAUUUUAGUAGUAAUGUAAGCAAAACCCAUUUGAGGAAAAGGCCUUUAGGAUCGAAAAAAUGGGUUUUUGUAUUUCAAAUUGUUGAAUUCAGAAGUUGGGUAUUGGACUGUGAAGCGGUUUGGUUUUGGUUGUUUGAUUGGGUUUAGUAGAAGCUCUAGUUUGUGAUCAAAACUGGGAAGAAUGCUGGAGCCAGAGUUCUGUGGUUCUCGGAUGCUAUCGCCUUUUCGGGACGAAAGCGGAGAUGAGGAACUUUCAGUUCUUCCCAGGCACACCAAGGUUAUUGUCACUGGAAACAACAGAACAAAGUCUGUUUUGGUGGGUCUUCAAGGCGUGGUCAAGAAAGCUGUUGGGCUUGGGGGUUGGCACUGGCUGGUUCUGAAAAAUGGAGUUGAAGUUAAGCUGCAAAGGAAUGCAUUGAGUGUGCUGGAACAUCCUACAGGGAAUGAGGAAGAUAGCAAUCUUGAUUACUCUAGCGGCAGCUCUGACCAUGGUGAUAAGGAGAAUGAUUUCUCUAGAUGCUUUGAGUUCCAUAAGCAUAGUAAACCAAGAGUUCGAUUUUCAAGGCCAUAUGUUCCACCCUCAGCAACAAAGUCAGUAAAUCGUGGAAGUUAUAGAGAAGUUCAAUACAUCCAAGCACCCCAAUCGAGAGUAAACUUGGGAAAACUAGGAACAAGCUCAUUGAGGAGGUAUUGCAGACACUUCAAUCUUGUGGUUAAGCGGCAAUUCUAAUCCAACAAGGGAACAAUUGAUCAAUGCUGCACAACGACAUUUUACAUCGCAGCAGAUGCCGUUGGAUGAGGUAUCGGUGGUCACUGAAUUUGUGGAUGCUGCCAGGAGUCGGAAGUGGAAACAAGCAGAAUGAGAAAUGAGAAUGUCAAAAAAAGGAAAUAUGGUUGUAUAAUAAUAUACAUAUGUAUCUACUAACCUAACCGUUAGGUCAGAUCUAAUCACAGACUGAUGUGGAGAGUCUUCGGCUUUAGUACGGUGACAUCGCUUCCUCGAAUCCUAACUUUGUAAUACAGGGUUCAUACCUAAGUUGUUCUAUAUCAAUAUUAGGUAUUAAUCUCAUCAUUAUAUCUGCCAUUUGAGUAUUA